AUGAAACACUCCUACGGGAGGCAGCAGUGGGGAAUAUUGGACAAUGGGGGCAACCCUGAUCCUGCAAUUCUGUGUGCACGAAGAAGGCUUUCGGGCUGUAAAGUGCUUUCAGCAGGGAAGAAGCAAGUGACGGUACCUGCAGAAGAAGCGACGGCUAAAUACGUGCCAGCAGCCGCGGCAAUACGUAUGUCGCGAGCGUUAUCCGGAAUUAUUGGGCAUAAAGGGCAUCUAGGCGGCCAGGCAAGUCUGGGGUGAAAACCUGCGGCUCAACCGCAGGCCUGCCCUGGAAACUGCGUGGCUAGAGUGCUGGAGAGGUGGACGGAACUGCACGAGUAGAGGUGAAAUUCGUAGAUAUGUGCGGGAAUGCCGAUGAUGAAGAUAGUUCACUGGACGGCAACUGACGCUGAAGUGCGAAAGCCGGGGGAGCGAACAGGAUUAGAAACCCUAGUAGUCCGAAGUUC
This 461-nucleotide ribosomal RNA is filed under the name uncultured bacterium. RNAcentral describes it as "bacterial SSU rRNA". It matches the Rfam family "Bacterial small subunit ribosomal RNA", at positions 328 to 802 of the family's 1533-position model. The record is from RNAcentral.